UUGUUGGUAAGGUAAAGGCUUACCAAGGCUUCGAUCAGUAGCUGGUCUGAGAGGACGGCCAGCCACACUGGGACUGAGACACGGCCCAGACUCCUACGGGAGGCAGCAGUGGGGAAUUUUGGACAAUGGGGGAAACCCUGAUCCAGCCAUGCCGCGUGAGUGAAGAAGGCCUUCGGGUUGUAAAGCUCUUUCAGCCGGAACGAAACGGUUACGGAUAAUACCCGUGACUACUGACGGUACCGGAAGAAGAAGCACCGGGCUAACUACGUGCCAGCAGCCGCGGUAAUACGUAGGGUGCGAGCGUUAAUCGGAAUUACUGGGCGUAAAGCGUGCGCAGGUGGUUUUGUAAGUCAGAUGUGAAAGCCCCGGGCUCAACCUGGGAACUGCGUUUGAAACUACAAGACUAGAGUGUGGCAGAGGGGGGUGGAAUUCCGCGUGUAGCAGUGAAAUGCGUAGAGAUGUGGAGGAACACCGAUGGCGAAGGCAGCCCCCUGGGUUAACACUGACACUCAGGCACGAAAGCAUGGGGAGCAAACAGGAUUAGAUACCCUGGUAGUCCAUGCCCUAAACGAUGUCAACUAGUUGUCGGGCCUUUACGGGCUUGGUAACGUAGCUAACGCGUGAAGUUGACCGCCUGGGGAGUACGAUCGCAAGAUUAAAACUCAAAUGAAUUGACGGGGACCCGCACAAGCGGUGGAUUAUGUGGAUUAAUUCGAUGCAACGCGAAAAACCUUACCUACCCUUGACAUGUAUCGAAGCCCGCAGAAAAGCGGGGGUGCCCGAAAGGGAACGAUAACACAGGUGCUGCAUGGCUGUCGUCAGCUCGUGUCGUGAGAUGUUGGGUUAAGUCCCGCAACGAGCGCAACCCUUGUCAUUAAUUGCCAUCAUUUAGUUGGGCACUUUAAUGAGACUGCCGG
This 917-nucleotide ribosomal RNA is filed under the name uncultured bacterium. RNAcentral describes it as "bacterial SSU rRNA". It matches the Rfam family "Bacterial small subunit ribosomal RNA", at positions 246 to 1155 of the family's 1533-position model. The record is from RNAcentral.